Thunnus maccoyii (southern bluefin tuna) is the source of this 496-nucleotide long non-coding RNA. RefSeq lists it as uncharacterized. The transcript has 2 exons. The record is from RefSeq and is a predicted model, not a curated record. NCBI's taxonomy places the organism in Eukaryota, Metazoa, Chordata, Actinopteri, Scombriformes, Scombridae.
CCUGAUUUUCAGACUUGUUUUUCCUUCCCAUGCUAUUUCACACUGACACAUCCUCUUUGCUCUGUGGGUUCUUUGACAUUUUCAUCUGGACACAACGCACCUGUGGAGAAGCUACAGCAGGGAUGGCUCCUCCUUCCUCUGGCUUCUCCCUGAUUACUCCUGAUGCACAGCACCUGCUCUAAUCAGCACACCUGCCAUCCAUCAGCUCAUGAGCCAGACAGUAUAUCUUCCCCAGAUCACCAGCCGCUCUUCGCCAGAUCAUUCAGUCAGCUACAGUGGUAGUCACGUGCUCUCGGCCGCUCGGUCUUUGUGAAACUCUGACUUAUUUCUUUAAGUUCUAUGCCUUGUGUACUAAUGUUAAUUCUCCUCUGCUCUCAGGUGCUCUCUCACCACCUGGUUAUCUCUGUCUGCCUGCCGAUCAGCCUGCUGCCCACACCAUCUCCUCACCUGUUUCAUCCCGUGUUGCAAUAAAUCCCUUUUUACAUAUACUAUUGAA